GAUGAAGAACGUAGCGAAAUGCGAUAAGUAAUGUGAAUUGCAGAAUUCAGUGAAUCAUCGAAUCUUUGAACGCACAUUGCGCCCCUUGGUAUUCCGAAGGGCAUGCCUGUUCGAGCGUCAUUAUAACCACUCAAGCUCUCGCUUGGUAUUGGGGUUCGCGGUCUCGCGGCCCCUAAAAUCAGUGGCGGUGCCUGUCGGCUCUACGCGUAGUAAUACUCCUCGCGAUUGAGUCCGGUAGGUGACUUGCCAGCAACCCCCAAAUUUUUCAGGUUGACCUCGGAUCAGGUAGGGAUACCCGCUGAACUUAAGCAUAUCAAUAAGCGGAGGA
RNAcentral lists this unclassified non-coding RNA (328 nucleotides) under soil metagenome. RNAcentral describes it as "partial contains 5.8S ribosomal RNA, internal transcribed spacer 2, and large subunit ribosomal RNA". The stretch from base 1 to 120 matches the Rfam family "5.8S ribosomal RNA", at positions 35 to 154 of the family's 154-position model. The record is from RNAcentral.